Long non-coding RNA from Acanthochromis polyacanthus (spiny chromis), 1581 nucleotides. RefSeq lists it as uncharacterized. The record is from RefSeq and is a predicted model, not a curated record. The transcript has 3 exons. Lineage: Eukaryota; Metazoa; Chordata; Actinopteri; Pomacentridae.
AGAGGAAGGAGGCAGAUCGGUUAGGUCUGAAAAUAUGGAAACGAGAGGAAGAAAAAGGAAGGAGGCAGCUCGGUUAGGUCUGAAAAUAUGGGAACGAGAGGAAGGAAAAGGAAGGAGGCAGCUCGGUUAGGUCUGAAAACAUGGAAACGAGAGGAAGGAAAAGGAAGGAGGCAGCUCGGUUAGGUCUGAAAACAUGGAAACGAGAGGAAGGAAAAGGAAGGAGGCAGCUCGGUUAGGUCUGAAAACAUGGAAACGAGAGGAAGGAAAAGGAAGGAGGCAGCUCGGUUAGGUCUGAAAACAUGGAAACGAGAGGAAGGAAAGGAAGGAGGCAGCUCGGUUAGGUCUGAAAAUAUGGAAACGAGAGGAAGAAAAAGGAAGGAGGCAGCUCGGUUAGGUCUGAAAAUAUGGAAACGAGAGGAAGGAAAAGGAAGGAGGCAGAUCGGUUAGGUCUGAAAACAUGGAAACGAGAGGAAGGAAAAGGAAGGAGGCAGAUCGGUUAGGUCUGAAAACAUGGAAACGAGAGGAAGGAAAAGGAAGGAGGCAGCUCGGUUAGGUCUGAAAACAUGGAAACGAGAGGAAGGAAAAGGAAGGAGGCAGAUCGGUUAGGUCUGAAAACAUGGAAACGAGAGGAAGGAAAAGGAAGGAGGCAGAUCGGUUAGGUCUGAAAACAUGGAAACGAGAGGAAGGAAAAGGAAGGAGGCAGCUCGGUUAGGUCUGAAAACAUGGAAACGAGAGGAAGGAAAAGGAAGGAGGCAGCUCGGUUAGGUCUGAAAACAUGGAAACGAGAGGAAGGAAAAGGAAGGAGGCAGAUCGGUUAGGUCUGAAAACAUGGAAACGAGAGGAAGGAAAAGGAAGGAGGCAGAUCGGUUAGGUCUGAAAACAUGGAAACGAGAGGAAGGAAAAGGAAGGAGGCAGAUCGGUUAGGUCUGAAAACAUGGAAACGAGAGGAAGGAAAAGGAAGGAGGCAGCUCGGUUAGGUCUGAAAACAUGGAAACGAGAGGAAGGAAAAGGAAGGAGGCAGCUCGGUUAGGUCUGAAAACAUGGAAACGAGAGGAAGGAAAAGGAAGGAGGCAGCUCGGUUAGGUCUGAAAACAUGGAAACGAGAGGAAGGAAAAGGAAGGAGGCAGAUCGGUUAGGUCUGAAAACAUGGAAACGAGAGGAAGGAAAAGGAAGGAGGCAGAUCGGUUAGGUCUGAAAACAUGGAAACGAGAGGAAGGAAAAGGAAGGAGGCAGCUCGGUUAGGUCUGAAAACAUGGAAACGAGAGGAAGGAAAAGGAAGGAGGCAGAUCGGUUAGGUCUGAAAACAUGGAAACGAGAGGAAGGAAAAGGAAGGAGGCAGAUCGGUUAGGUCUGAAAACAUGGAAACGAGAGGAAGGAAAAGGAAGGAGGCAGCUCGGUUAGGUCUGAAAACAUGGAAACGAGAGGAAGGAAAAGGAAGGAGGCAGCUCGGUUAGGUCUGAAAACAUGGAAACGAGAGGAAGGAAAAGGAAGGAGGCAGCUCGGUUAGGUCUGAAAACAUGGAAACGAGAGGAAGGAAAAGGAAGGAGGCAGAUCGGUUAGGUCUGAAAAAAAACAGAUGAA